UGAAUGGAUUUCUCGCAUGGAAAGUAACCCAUUUGAAAGUUGGUUUUGUUGAUAGAGAAAUAGUGUUGUAAUCUGUGGAAUUUGAGUAUUUGUUUGGUUCUCUGCUCCUUGCACAUUCGACUUCAAUGGCCUUGAGAAGAAGAGAAGUUCCCUUGUAUUUUUUAACUUUUUUAUGGUUUUGGAAUGCUGCAAAUGGAUUGCUCUCUCCCAAAGGAGUAAACUUUGAAGUGCAAGCUUUAAUGGGAAUA
RNAcentral lists this unclassified non-coding RNA (248 nucleotides) under Hevea brasiliensis (rubber tree). Lineage: Eukaryota; Viridiplantae; Streptophyta; Magnoliopsida; Malpighiales; Euphorbiaceae. The record is from RNAcentral.